UCAAUUAUUUAUAGCCUCUGGCUAUAGGAAAUUGUUAGUGGCAGACGGGUGAGUAAUGCGUAGGAAUCUACCUAGUAGUACGGAAUAGCCAUUAGAAAUGGUGGGUAAUACUGUAUAAUCCCCGAGGGGGAAAGAUUUAUCGCUAUUAGAUGAGCCUACGUUAGAUUAGCUAGUUGGUGAGGUAAUGGCUUACCAAGGCUAUGAUCUAUAGCUGGUCUGAGAGGACGAUCAGCCACACUGGAACUGAGAUACGGUCCAGACUCCUACGGGAGGCAGCAGUGGGGAAUAUUGGACAAUGGGCGAAAGCCUGAUCCAGCUAUGCCGCGUGAGUGAAGAAGGCCUUUCGGGUUUAAACCCCUUA
RNAcentral lists this ribosomal RNA (361 nucleotides) under uncultured Ehrlichia sp. RNAcentral describes it as "bacterial SSU rRNA". It matches the Rfam family "Bacterial small subunit ribosomal RNA", at positions 63 to 436 of the family's 1533-position model. Lineage: Bacteria; Pseudomonadati; Pseudomonadota; Alphaproteobacteria; Rickettsiales; Anaplasmataceae. The record is from RNAcentral.